AAGUGUUACAGCUCUUUAAGAAUUUCUCUAGCAGGCUUUCCAGUUUUUAACCAGAAAACCGUU
Molecule: small nuclear RNA, 63 nt
Filed under: Callithrix jacchus (white-tufted-ear marmoset)
Lineage: Eukaryota; Metazoa; Chordata; Mammalia; Primates; Cebidae
Description: U7 small nuclear RNA (ENSCJAG00000082513.1)
Rfam family: U7 small nuclear RNA
About the family: Animal histone pre-mRNAs are spliced by a different mechanism than nuclear pre-mRNAs and self-splicing introns. This processing involves the U7 snRNP, which contains only one RNA species: U7. The 5' end of U7 RNA is thought to base-pair to a conserved spacer element downstream of the cleavage site in histone pre-mRNA.
Source: Rfam by way of RNAcentral